This 405-nucleotide ribosomal RNA is filed under the name uncultured prokaryote. RNAcentral describes it as "bacterial SSU rRNA". It matches the Rfam family "Bacterial small subunit ribosomal RNA", at positions 355 to 774 of the family's 1533-position model. The record is from RNAcentral.
UGGGGAAUAUUGGGCAAUGGGCGAAAGCCUGACCCAGCAACGCCGCGUGAAGGACGAAGGCCUUCGGGUUGUAAACUUCUUUGAUCAGGGACGAAACAAAUGACGGUACCUGAAGAACAAGCCACGGCUAACUACGUGCCAGCAGCCGCGGUAAUACGUAGGUGGCGAGCGUUAUCCGGAUUUACUGGGUGUAAAGAGCGUGUAGGCGGGUUUGCAAGUCGGAUGUGAAAUUCCCGGGCUUAACUCGGGCGGGUCAUCCGAAACUGCAGAUCUUGAGUACUGGAGAGGAUAGUGGAAUUCCUAGGGUAGCGGUAAAAUGCGUAGAUAUUAGGAGGAACAUCAGUGGCGAAGGCGACUAUCUGGACAGUAACUGACGCUGAUGCGCGAAAGCGUGGGGAGCAAACA